CCUACGGGAGGCAGCAGUGGGGAAUUUUGGACAAUGGGCGAAAGCCUGAUCCAGCAAUGCCGCGUGUGUGAAGAAGGCCUUCGGGUUGUAAAGCACUUUUGUCCGGAAAGAAAUCCUUGGCCCUAAUACGGUCGGGGGAUGACGGUACCGGAAGAAUAAGCACCGGCUAACUACGUGCCAGCAGCCGCGGUAAUACGUAGGGUGCGAGCAUUAAUCGGAAUUACUGGGCGUAAAGCGUGCGCAGGCGGUUUGUUAAGACCGAUGUGAAAUCCCCGGGCUCAACCUGGGAACUGCAUUGGUGACUGGCAAGCUAGAGUAUGGCAGAGGGGGGUAGAAUUGGACGUGUAGCAGUGAAAUGCGUAGAGAUGUGGAGGAAUACCGAUGGCGAAGGCAGCCCCCUGGGCCAAUACUGACGCUCAUGCACGAAAGCGUGGGGAGCAAACAGGAUUAGAUACCCUGGUAGUCCACGCCCUAAACGAUGUCAACUAGUUGUUGGGGAUUCUUUUCCUUAGUAACGUAGCUAACGCGUGAAGUUGACCGCCUGGGGAGUACGGUCGCAAGAUUAAAACUCAAAGGAAUUGACGGGGACCCCCACAAGCGGUGGAUGAUGUGGAUUAAUUCGA
Molecule: ribosomal RNA, 623 nt
Filed under: uncultured bacterium
Lineage: Bacteria
Description: bacterial SSU rRNA
Rfam family: Bacterial small subunit ribosomal RNA
Source: RNAcentral